GAUGAACGCUGGCGGCGUGCCUAAUACAUGCAAGUCGAACGCUUCACUUCGGUGAAGAGUGGCGAACGGGUGAGUAAUACAUAAGUAACCUGGCAUCUACAGGGGGAUAACUGAUGGAAACGUCAGCUAAGACCGCAUAGGUGUAGAGAUCGCAUGAACUCUAUAUGAAAAGUGCUACGGGACUGGUAGAUGAUGGACUUAUGGGGCAUUAGCUGGUUGGUAGGGGAACGGCCUACCAAGGCGACGAUGCGUAGCCGACCUGAGAGGGUGACCGGGCACACUGGGACUGAGACACGGCCCAGACUCCUACGGGAGGCAGCAGUAGGGAAUUUUCGGCAAUGGGGGAAACCCUGACCGAGCAACGCCGCGUGAAGGAAGAAGUAAUUCGUUAUGUAAACUUCUGUCAUAGAGGAAGAACGGUGGAUAUAGGGAAUGAUAUCCAAGUGACGGUACUCUAUAAGAAAGCCACGGCUAACUACGUGCCAGCCGCCGCCGUAA
Molecule: ribosomal RNA, 498 nt
Filed under: uncultured bacterium
Lineage: Bacteria
Description: partial 16S ribosomal RNA
Rfam family: Bacterial small subunit ribosomal RNA
Source: RNAcentral